RNAcentral lists this ribosomal RNA (2894 nucleotides) under Vibrio parahaemolyticus. Its description in RNAcentral is "23S ribosomal RNA". It matches the Rfam family "Bacterial large subunit ribosomal RNA". Lineage: Bacteria; Pseudomonadati; Pseudomonadota; Gammaproteobacteria; Vibrionales; Vibrionaceae. The record is from RNAcentral.
GGUUAAGUGACUAAGCGUACACGGUGGAUGCCUUGGCAGUCAGAGGCGAUGAAAGACGUAGUAACUUGCGAUAAGCCCAGAUUAGGUAGUAACAACCAUUUGAGUCUGGGAUUUCUGAAUGGGGAAACCCACUUACAUAAGUAAGUAUCAUUAACUGAAUACAUAGGUUAAUGAGGCGAACCGGGGGAACUGAAACAUCUAAGUACCCCGAGGAAAAGAAAUCAACCGAGAUUCCGAAAGUAGCGGCGAGCGAAAUUGGACUAGCCCUUAAGCUUUACACGCGUUAGACGAACGGUCUGGAAAGUCCGACGAUACAGGGUGAUAGUAGUCCCGUAGUUGACGACGUGUGUUCAGUGAAAUCGAGUAGGGCGGGACACGUGAUAUCCUGUCUGAAUAUGGGGGGACCAUCCUCCAAGGCUAAAUACUACUGACUGACCGAUAGUGAACCAGUACCGUGAGGGAAAGGCGAAAAGAACCCCUGUGAGGGGAGUGAAAUAGAACCUGAAACCGUGUACGUACAAGCAGUAGGAGCAGGCUUUGUCCUGUGACUGCGUACCUUUUGUAUAAUGGGUCAGCGACUUAUAUUCAGUGGCAAGGUUAACCAUCUAGGGGAGCCGUAGGGAAACCGAGUCUUAACUGGGCGUUCAGUCUCUGGAUAUAGACCCGAAACCAGGUGAUCUAGCCAUGGGCAGGUUGAAGGUUGAGUAACAUCAACUGGAGGACCGAACCGACUAAUGUUGAAAAAUUAGCGGAUGACUUGUGGCUAGGGGUGAAAGGCCAAUCAAACCUGGAGAUAGCUGGUUCUCCCCGAAAGCUAUUUAGGUAGCGCCUCGGACGAAUACUACUGGGGGUAGAGCACUGUUAAGGCUAGGGGGUCAUCCCGACUUACCAACCCUUUGCAAACUCCGAAUACCAGUAAGUACUAUCCGGGAGACACACGGCGGGUGCUAACGUCCGUCGUGGAGAGGGAAACAACCCAGACCGCCAGCUAAGGUCCCAAAUUACUACUAAGUGGGAAACGAUGUGGGAAGGCUCAGACAGCCAGGAUGUUGGCUUAGAAGCAGCCAUCAUUUAAAGAAAGCGUAAUAGCUCACUGGUCGAGUCGGCCUGCGCGGAAGAUGUAACGGGGCUAAGUAGUAAACCGAAGCUGCGGCAAUAUACUUUUGUAUAUUGGGUAGGGGAGCGUUCUGUAAGCGGUUGAAGGUGUGUGGUAACGCAUGCUGGACGUAUCAGAAGUGCGAAUGCUGACAUGAGUAACGAUAAAGGGGGUGAAAAACCUCCUCGCCGGAAGACCAAGGGUUCCUGUCCAACGUUAAUCGGGGCAGGGUAAGUCGACCCCUAAGGCGAGGCCGAAAGGCGUAGUCGAUGGGAAACGGGUUAAUAUUCCCGUACUUCUUACAAUUGCGAUGGGGGGACGGAGAAGGCUAGGUGGGCCUGGCGACGGUUGUCCAGGUUCAAGUGCGUAGGCUUAAGAGUUAGGUAAAUCCGGCUCUUUUUAAGGCUGAGACACGACGUCGAGCACCUACGGGUGUGAAGUCAUUGAUGCCAUGCUUCCAGGAAAAGCCUCUAAGCUUCAGAUUGUAAGGAAUCGUACCCCAAACCGACACAGGUGGUCGGGUAGAGAAUACCAAGGCGCUUGAGAGAACUCGGGUGAAGGAACUAGGCAAAAUGGUACCGUAACUUCGGGAGAAGGUACGCUCUUGAUGGUGAAGUCCCUUGCGGAUGGAGCUGACGAGAGUCGCAGAUACCAGGUGGCUGCAACUGUUUAUUAAAAACACAGCACUGUGCAAAAUCGUAAGAUGACGUAUACGGUGUGACGCCUGCCCGGUGCCGGAAGGUUAAUUGAUGGGGUUAGACUUCGGUCGAAGCUCUUGAUCGAAGCCCCGGUAAACGGCGGCCGUAACUAUAACGGUCCUAAGGUAGCGAAAUUCCUUGUCGGGUAAGUUCCGACCUGCACGAAUGGCGUAAUGAUGGCCACGCUGUCUCCACCCGAGACUCAGUGAAAUUGAAAUCGCUGUGAAGAUGCAGUGUACCCGCGGCUAGACGGAAAGACCCCGUGAACCUUUACUACAGCUUGGCACUGAACAUUGACCCUACAUGUGUAGGAUAGGUGGGAGGCUUUGAAGCACGUACGCCAGUAUGUGUGGAGCCGUCCUUGAAAUACCACCCUUGUAGUGUUGAUGUUCUAACGUCGACCCCUAAUCGGGGUUGCGGACAGUGCCUGGUGGGUAGUUUGACUGGGGCGGUCUCCUCCCAAAGAGUAACGGAGGAGCACGAAGGUGGGCUAAUCACGGUUGGACAUCGUGAGGUUAGUGCAAUGGCAUAAGCCCGCUUGACUGCGAGAAUGACAAUUCGAGCAGGUGCGAAAGCAGGUCAUAGUGAUCCGGUGGUUCUGAAUGGAAGGGCCAUCGCUCAACGGAUAAAAGGUACUCCGGGGAUAACAGGCUGAUACCGCCCAAGAGUUCAUAUCGACGGCGGUGUUUGGCACCUCGAUGUCGGCUCAUCACAUCCUGGGGCUGAAGUCGGUCCCAAGGGUAUGGCUGUUCGCCAUUUAAAGUGGUACGCGAGCUGGGUUUAGAACGUCGUGAGACAGUUCGGUCCCUAUCUGCCGUGGGCGUUGGAAGAUUGAAGGGGGCUGCUCCUAGUACGAGAGGACCGGAGUGGACGAACCUCUGGUGUUCGGGUUGUGUCGCCAGACGCAUUGCCCGGUAGCUAAGUUCGGAAUCGAUAACCGCUGAAAGCAUCUAAGCGGGAAGCGAGCCCUGAGAUGAGUCUUCCCUGAUACUUUAAGUAUCCUAAAGGGUUGUCGGAGACUACGACGUUGAUAGGUCAGGUGUGUAAGUGCUGUGAGGCAUUGAGCUAACUGAUACUAAUUGCCCGUGAGGCUUAACCAU